Molecule: small nuclear RNA, 106 nt
Organism: Cavia porcellus (domestic guinea pig)
Lineage: Eukaryota; Metazoa; Chordata; Mammalia; Rodentia; Caviidae
Source: RefSeq, a predicted model, not a curated record
GUGUUCCACUUGGAAGCAUAGAUAUAUAAUUGAAACUACACAGAGAAGAUUACCAUGACCAGUGUACAAGAAUGACAGGCAAAUUCAUAGGGUGUUCCUUAUUUUU